CACAAAUACAGGAAACCCACUAUUCACACAGAUAGAGUCUUCCCUGUAUUUGCACGCCGUCGCAUAGGUACAAAAUACAACCAUAGUACAUAAAUAAUCAUAUACAUUCACCACAUCACAUAAAUCGAUUCGCAUUCGGUCAUUCACAAGAAUACAAUAUUUUAUUCAUAAAUCCACAUCUAUUUGUUUAAAAUAUUUUUCACACAGAAACUCAUUUUGAAAUACUAAAAGUCAUGAAAAUCGAAAAACCCCUUUUAAAAUCGUUUUACACACGGAAACCUUUUUCUUUAAAAACAAGCUAUCACGAAGGGUAGAAAACUAUUUUUAUAAUCUCACAUGAAAACCACAAGUAUUUUAUUUAACUUUACAAAACCAUAUAUAUAUAUAUAUAUCCAACUAAAAUAAAAGUAACUGAA
This 416-nucleotide long non-coding RNA is filed under the name Ananas comosus (pineapple). Its description in RNAcentral is "long non-coding RNA (ACOM_LNC038462)". Lineage: Eukaryota; Viridiplantae; Streptophyta; Magnoliopsida; Poales; Bromeliaceae. The record is from RNAcentral.